RNAcentral lists this unclassified non-coding RNA (341 nucleotides) under soil metagenome. RNAcentral's name for it is "partial contains 5.8S ribosomal RNA, internal transcribed spacer 2, and large subunit ribosomal RNA". The stretch from base 1 to 120 matches the Rfam family "5.8S ribosomal RNA", at positions 35 to 154 of the family's 154-position model. The record is from RNAcentral.
GAUGAAGAACGCAGCGAAAUGCGAUAAGUAGUGUGAAUUGCAGAAUUCAGUGAAUCAUCGAAUCUUUGAACGCACAUUGCGCCCUUUGGUAUUCCAAAGGGCAUGCUUGUUCGAGCGUCAUUUGUACCCUCAAGCUUUGCUUGGUGUUGGGCGUCUUGUCUCUAGCUUUGCUGGAGACUCGCCUUAAAGUAAUUGGCAGCCGGCCUACUGGUUUCGGAGCGCAGCACAAGUCGCACUCUCUAUCAGCAAAGGUCUAGCAUCCAUUAAGCCUUUUUUUCAACUUUUGACCUCGGAUCAGGUAGGGAUACCCGCUGAACUUAAGCAUAUCAAUAAGCGGAGGA